GGGUUGUGAGGUUAAGCGACUAAGCGUACACGGUGGAUGCCCUGGCAGUCAGAGGCGAUGAAGGACGUGCUAAUCUGCGAUAAGCGUCGGUAAGGUGAUAUGAACCGUUAUAACCGGCGAUUUCCGAAUGGGGAAACCCAGUGUGAUUCGUCACACUAUCAUUAACUGAAUCCAUAGGUUAAUGAGGCGAACCGGGGGAACUGAAACAUCUAAGUACCCCGAGGAAAAGAAAUCAACCGAGAUUCCCCCAGUAGCGGCGAGCGAACGGGGAGCAGCCCAGAGCCUGAAUCAGUGUGUGUGUUAGUGGAAGCGUCUGGAAAGGCGUGCGAUACAGGGUGACAGCCCCGUACACAAAAAUGCACAUACUGUGAGCUCGAUGAGUAGGGCGGGACACGUGGUAUCCUGUCUGAAUAUGGGGGGACCAUCCUCCAAGGCUAAAUACUCCUGACUGACCGAUAGUGAACCAGUACCGUGAGGGAAAGGCGAAAAGAACCCCGGCGAGGGGAGUGAAAAAGAACCUGAAACCGUGUACGUACAAGCAGUGGGAGCACGCUUAGGCGUGUGACUGCGUACCUUUUGUAUAAUGGGUCAGCGACUUAUAUUCUGUAGCAAGGUUAACCGAAUAGGGGAGCCGAAGGGAAACCGAGUCUUAACUGGGCGUUAAGUUGCAGGGUAUAGACCCGAAACCCGGUGAUCUAGCCAUGGGCAGGUUGAAGGUUGGGUAACACUAACUGGAGGACCGAACCGACUAAUGUUGAAAAAUUAGCGGAUGACUUGUGGCUGGGGGUGAAAGGCCAAUCAAACCGGGAGAUAGCUGGUUCUCCCCGAAAGCUAUUUAGGUAGCGCCUCGUGAAUUCAUCUCCGGGGGUAGAGCACUGUUUCGGCAAGGGGGUCAUCCCGACUUACCAACCCGAUGCAAACUGCGAAUACCGGAGAAUGUUAUCACGGGAGACACACGGCGGGUGCUAACGUCCGUCGUGAAGAGGGAAACAACCCAGACCGCCAGCUAAGGUCCCAAAGUCAUGGUUAAGUGGGAAACGAUGUGGGAAGGCCCAGACAGCCAGGAUGUUGGCUUAGAAGCAGCCAUCAUUUAAAGAAAGCGUAAUAGCUCACUGGUCGAGUCGGCCUGCGCGGAAGAUGUAACGGGGCUAAACCAUGCACCGAAGCUGCGGCAGCGACGCUUAUGCGUUGUUGGGUAGGGGAGCGUUCUGUAAGCCUGUGAAGGUGUGCUGUGAGGUAUGCUGGAGGUAUCAGAAGUGCGAAUGCUGACAUAAGUAACGAUAAAGCGGGUGAAAAGCCCGCUCGCCGGAAGACCAAGGGUUCCUGUCCAACGUUAAUCGGGGCAGGGUGAGUCGACCCCUAAGGCGAGGCCGAAAGGCGUAGUCGAUGGGAAACAGGUUAAUAUUCCUGUACUUGGUGUUACUGCGAAGGGGGGACGGAGAAGGCUAUGUUGGCCGGGCGACGGUUGUCCCGGUU
Molecule: ribosomal RNA, 1476 nt
Filed under: Shigella flexneri
Lineage: Bacteria; Pseudomonadati; Pseudomonadota; Gammaproteobacteria; Enterobacterales; Enterobacteriaceae
Description: partial 23S ribosomal RNA
Rfam family: Bacterial large subunit ribosomal RNA
Source: RNAcentral